This is an RNA transcript of Mustela erminea (ermine), 3023 nucleotides long. It is a transcript of the gene named transmembrane protein 144, with no coding region annotated. The record is from RefSeq and is a predicted model, not a curated record. Lineage: Eukaryota; Metazoa; Chordata; Mammalia; Carnivora; Mustelidae. The transcript is spliced from 19 exons.
UGGAGAAGGUGUUUCUCAACCUGCAGCCCUGGGCGGCCUCCACGUCUCCUUUAUUGCAGUGCUCCCUCCUUCUCCAGGCGUUGCGCCCUAAUUGUCCCCGCGGGAAAUAAUGGCUGGCGGGGCAGCCGGGUCGCGCGGAGGCAACAGACCUCCGGGUCAUAGGUGCUAGAGCCCGCCCUUCUCCCGCCCAGUCAUAGAUAAUUUGUCCCGGCAGGAAGUAAAGGCCGGCGGGGCUGUCCCAGCAGCUGGGGAAUAGGCGGGUGCGGGCUCCGCCGCGGCGCGGGGGAGACACCGGAGAGGGUGCUGAGCUGGAGGGAGCUUCAGCGCCAGCCCCGAGCGCACACCAAUAGCAGACCCUCUAGCGCCAGAUGUACUGACUUCAAGGCCACUCAAGACAUAGUUUGUGUAAGCACAGCACAGUCUUACAGUGGUGUAGUCUAUAGCCCGUGCAAGGACAGCAAGGACCAGCCAAGAAUUUCUGACCCCGGCCAAAUCCUCGCUAUCUGACUAGCAAACGUGUGAAGCUCUUGAAAAGGACAUCAAGUGCAAAGUGAACCAGCUCACUCCCAGGCGGUAUUGGAACCAUGAGCAGUAACGGAACAGACCUGACCAUUGGUUUUGUGUCCUCUUCUGUAGCUGUCCUUUUGUUUGGCUCAAACUUUGUACCACUUAAAAAAUACGAUACUGGUGAUGGAAUGUUUCUCCAGUGGGUACUGUGUGCUGCCAUAUGGUUGAUUGCCGUGGUGGUCAAUCUGAUAUUACAUUGCCCUAAAUUUUGGCCUUUUGCAAUGGUUGGCGGCUGCAUUUGGGCAACAGGGAACAUUGCUGUUGUCCCAAUUAUCAAAACCAUUGGUUUAGGCCUUGGAAUCUUAAUCUGGGGAUCAUUUAAUACCUUAACUGGCUGGGCAAGCUCAAGGUUUGGCUGGUUUGGAAUGGAUGCAGAAGAAGUAUCAAAACCGGUGCUAAAUUACGUCGGAGCUGGAUUAUCAGUAGUGAGUGCUUUCAUAUUUUUGUUCAUCAAAAGUGAAAUACCAAAUAACAUGUGUUCUGUGGACACCACACCAUUAAUGACAGAUCAUGUGAUCAACAGCACUCAAGAUUCCUGCCCUGACUAUUCCUGGGUGGAUAAACUUUCUACAGCACAACAGCGCACAGUGGGCUGCACUCUUGCAGUGAUAUCUGGAAUACUCUAUGGGUCUACAUUUGUGCCCAUCAUUUAUAUCAAGGACCACAGCAAAAGAAAUGACAGUAUAUACGCAGGGGCAAGCCAGUAUGAUUUAGACUACGUUUUUGCACACUUCAGUGGCAUCUUUUUUACAAGCACAGUCUACUUUCUGGCCUACUGUAUAGCCAUGAAAAAUAACCUGAAGCUAUAUCCUGAAGCAGUCUUGCCAGGAUUCCUGUCAGGAGUUCUUUGGGCAAUAGCCACCUGCUGUUGGUUCAUAGCUAACCAUGCUCUCAGUGCUGUGGUCAGUUUUCCGAUAAUCACUGCUGGUCCAGGAUUUAUAGCUGCAAUGUGGGGUGUCUUCAUGUUUAAGGAAAUACAGGGUCUACAAAACUACCUAUUGAUGAUAUUCGCAUUUUUCAUCAUCUUGACUGGAGCAUUAUGCACAGCUUUCUCCAAAAUCUAACAAUCACAAGACCAGCAGAUGGCAGCAGUGGACUACGAACAUUCCUGCACUAGACUUUCUAUGGAUAUAUGCAGGCAUUUCCUUUAGACACAUACUGAGGAGACAAGCUGCUGGGUGGAGACAUCCUGUACAAUCAGUUAAAAUAUUAUGUUCUUCACAAGAAUAAUUAAGAUCACAUUUUAAAAUUUCCAGAUGGUUGGGGCACCUGGGUGGCUCAGUCCAUUAAGCGCCAACUCAUGAUUGCAGUUCAGGUCAUGGUCUCAGGUUUGCUUCUUGAAUUCUGAUGUUAUACCAUUUAGUUCAGAAAAAUUUAUUCCAGUUAGGUCUUCAUCACAGAAGGAAGAUCAGCAAUGUUCCAUAUGGGGACUCCUUCUUCAGCCUUAGUCCUCAAGGGAAGAGGACAUGGAUCACAGCUACAGCCAGCCUAAAAGGGACAUGUAGCAUAAACAGAAAUAAAUCUUUGUUGUUAAACAGCUGAGUCACAAAGAGGUCAGCAGGCCUAGGAACAUAGAGCUAAUACGUGUCAGAGCCAGGGUUCAAGCCCAGCUAGUCUAGCUCCGAAAUCCUUGCUUUUAAUCCAUCCACUCCCUUAUAUUGCCUAUACUGGCAUUAUCUACCAACAGCCCCAUUCCAGUGUUUUGCACAGAAAGUCCUUACUGGCCUGCUGCAAUGUCAAGACAUUCAAGGAUUUCGGGGCAGAACAUUCGACUGGAGAGAUCACAAACUUGACUGGGACUUACUUGAUAUAACAGCAUAUUUUAGAGAUUUAUUUUCACUAUUGACAACCAAAAUGUAGAGUGCAUCCAUUUCCUGCAAGCAGUGCAAAGUGAAUGUAAUAAUGUGAUAGCAACAGUGGACACAUUUUCUGAUGAUGUCAUGGUAGAUUCUGUUUUUUAUAGGACCUGAUCAUGAGCAAACUUUAAGAAACUGCCUGAAAACAUUUCGACUAUUAUGAAGAAACAUUUAAAAGACAAUAAAACAGGAUAUUCAUUGAAUUAAAUAGUUAAAGGAUUUGAAUAGGUGUCCCUGAUGAUAUUACCUUGCAGAUUCUGUGGGUAAAAAGAAAAACAGUAUUUCAACACCAAUAGACUAUUCUUAACUGCUGUAGCUCCUUCGCUAUUUUGCAUAACUUGAUUCAGUCUUCAAAGACCAUUUCAAAUCAUUUCAAAUAGAGGUAUUUUUUCUGAAGAAAACUUUACCUAGGCACUACAGAGGAAUUAACUGCUCUCCCAGCAAUGCUUCAUUCAUUCCGCUAAUCUGUUACUUCCCUCACAGUACAAAUUAAGUUCAAACAUGGCAGCCGCCGUCUAGACACCUGCAUUUUUCGUAUGCAUGUUUUUAAAUCACCAGAAUAUAACAGAUACCUAAUAAAUAUUUGUUGAUUUUUGAAAA